Molecule: long non-coding RNA, 3001 nt
Filed under: Homo sapiens (human)
Lineage: Eukaryota; Metazoa; Chordata; Mammalia; Primates; Hominidae
Description: HSALNT0195630
Source: RNAcentral
AAACUGCUAGGAUUACAGGCGUGAGCCAUCGCACCCAGCCCAUUUUAUAUCUUUUAUACAGUAUUUUUACUGUACCUUUUCUAUGUUUAGAUCUAUUUAGAUCCACAAAUACCUUCCAUCGUGUUGCAAUCACCUACAGUAUUCAGUACAGUCACAUGCUGUACAGGCUUAGAGCCUAGGAGGAAUAGGCUAUGCCACAUAGCCCAGGGGUGUAGCAAAAUCACCUAAAGAUGCAUUUUUCAGAAUCUUGAGCGACGCAUGACUAUAAUCUUAAAAUGAAGAUGAUGUAUCAGGGUAGUGAAAAGGUGGUUGUAGGGAAGGUGACAGAGUGGACAGCACCUGAGCCAAGAGGUGAAAGGUUAGCAGAAGUAUGCCAGACUGAAAAGAAACAUUCAUCCCAGUUAAAAAGACUCACUUGUUUGUUCAAUCAAUAUUUGGAUUCCCAUGAAGUGGCUGGCAGUAUCCUAGGGGCUGGAGAGUCUAUGAACAAGACAGACAAGGUCUCUGUUCUCAAGAAUAUUAUAGUCUAGAAGAGAGAGUGAGGCAAGACAGAUAAGCAAGUAAAUGAACAAGAAAUGUUCAGUUUGUGAUGCCUACCACAAAGAAAAUAAAGCAGGUUUAUGAGCAAGGAAUUGAAGUAAUUUACACCGUGUCACCAGGUAUGGUCUGAAGCAGUAACAGUCUGACCUGAAAUGACAAAAAAGAUUCAACCAUGCAGAGAUCCUGGAAGACAAUCCAGAGUUUUAUCUGAGAAUUUUACCUGGGGAAAUGCCAUGAUGAUCCCAUCUUUUUAAAGAUUAUCACCCCUACUGCGGGGAAGAGAAGAAGACAAGAAUGGAAGCAGAGACUUGCAGCUGGGCUACUGCAGUGGUCCAGACGAGAGAUGCCAGUGGCUUGGCCUAGAGUGACAGCAGUGACACUCUGAAGAAAUGAGCAGAUUCAGGAUACACUCUGGAGGCAGAGCCAAUAUUGUGGAUAUAGGGAGUGAGAGGAGAAAAAAAGAAUGAAGUGGCUUUAAUACCUGGUGAACAGUAAUGCCACUGAGCGAGACUGGGAAGACUCGGGGAGGAACAAGUGCUGGCAGAGAAUCAAGAGUUCUGUUGGUCCAAACACGAACACAUUCAACGUCAACUAGAAAGUAGGAGGGUGGUUGCCGGGGGCUGGGGAAAGGGAGAAAUGGAGAGUUAUUGUUAAAUGAAUAUUAAGUUUCAGUUUCUACAAGCGUUAUGGGGAUGGAUGGUGGUGAUGGUCGCACAGCGUUAAGGAUGUAUUUAAUACCACUGAACUGCACACUUUAAAAAUGGUUAAGAUGGGGCCGGGCGUGGUGGCUGACACCUGUAAUCCCAGCACUUUGGGAGGCCGAGGCAGGUGGAUCACUUGAGGUCAGGAGUUCGAGACCAGCCUGGCCAACAUGGCGAAACCCUGUCUCUAUUAAAAAUACAAAAAUUAGUCGGGUGUGGUGGUGCAUGCCUGUAAUCCCAGCUACUCAGGAGGCUAAGGCAGGGAGAACUGCUUGAACCCGAGAGGUAGAGGUUGCAGUGAGCUGAGAUCAUGCCACUACACUCCAGCCUGGGUAACAGAGUGAGACUCCAUGUUAAAAAAGGUUAAGAUGGGAAAUUCUGGCCAGGCGUGGUGGCUCACACCUGUAAUCCCAGCACUUUGGGAGGCUGAGGUGGGUGGAUCACCUGAGGUCGGGAGUUCAAGACCAGCCAUGACCAACAUGGAGAAACCCCGUUUCUACUAAAAAUACAAAAUUAGCUGGGCAUGGUGGCGCAUGCCUGUAAUCCCAGCUACUCAAGAAGGCUGAGGCAGGAGAAUCAUUUGAACCCGGGAGGUGGAGGCUGUGGUGAGUUGAGGUCGUCCCACUGCACUCCAGCCUGGGCAAGAGCAAAACUCAGUCUUUAAAAAAAAAAAAAAAAAAAAAAAAAAAAGAUGGGAAAUUUUAUGUCGUAUUUUACCACAAUAAAAAAAAAUUGAAAAAAAAAAAAGAUAUCAACUAGGCAAUUGGAUAUAAGAAUUUGGGGAUUUCUGGACAGAUCUAGGCUGUUGUUAUCAACUACUGGCAUCAACAGCAUACCUCCAGAGAUCACCUGAGUAUUUAAACAAUGGCCCAGAGAUUACCUGAGUCAGAUAGAGAGGAAGGCAGAGGACGGAGUCCUGGCGCACCCCACCACUCAGGGGUCACAAGACAGAGAAGGGACAACACGCGACUGUGAGGAGGUGUCUGAGGUGGCAGAAAACACAAGUCACAGAAGUCUGGUAGUCACAUGAUUGCCCAGACAUCCCGGCCAAUAAAAGGGACUUACAACACUCAGCCUCUCUGUUUGCCUAAGGUGGCAGGUCACGUACAAUUCCCUAUUCUUCCCUUUUCACAGCUCCCCUGCCAAUCCACUAAAUGUAGAGUGACCACAUAGUUUUAUCAAUGUUCUAUUCACUUAUAUAUUUUAUUUACACACUUGAGCUUUGAGAGUAAAAAGGAGAGCUUUUUAUAACCAUGUCAGGACAACAGCAUAACCCAUUAUCCUGGGUGCACCCUGGGGUGUAACCACCCUUUCUACACAACUAAGCACUCAACCUGGACUUCUAGACAAACUUAUUAAUGCUUUGGGUAAGAUUUCCCCACCCGUGCUCCUUGCUGUUUCUCCCAGAAAUUCUCACAUGGAAGAAAAAUGAAAGGGUGCAGUGUGUUGGAGGGGUGGAAUUCUACCAAUCAAGUUAUGCACAAAAAGCAUAAAAGGAACUGUGGGUCCUUUUGAGUCACCCAGGAGGACACAGAGCCCCCAAAUUAAACGAAGGGCACCCAUGCGAGGGCUGGCCGACCCUCGCCACCUAUGUCUUGGUUUCCCCCACUGUAAUACUGGGAACCCCACUUCUCCCAGGCCUGCUGCGAAGAUGAAGCCAGCAAAUGCACGCCCUCUCUUAGCUCUGGACCGGGCAGGUGAAAAGCAGGGAGGUGUUCAUAAAAGCAGUCCCCACCGCUGAAGGGUCCUCAACUCGGGGU